Molecule: long non-coding RNA, 593 nt
Organism: Sciurus carolinensis (gray squirrel)
Lineage: Eukaryota; Metazoa; Chordata; Mammalia; Rodentia; Sciuridae
Exons: 3
Source: RefSeq, a predicted model, not a curated record
GCGUUGGAAACGGGAGCUUGCAGAUGAAUGUAAUCAUGACUAGACUUCCGAUGUUCAGAGGAUAUCGCAGGACAUGGGAUACUACACGUCCUGCCUUCAGGAAAUGGUAGAUGUUGUAACGAGAGUAUUCAACCUAAAGGAAACAUGCCUCUCCAAACCUAGUUGAGGAACUUUACAAACAAUGGAGUACUGUCUGGGUGCAGUGGUGCACACCUGCAAUAUGAGCGGAACUGCUGGGAAGGCUGAGGUGGGAGGAUUUCAAAUUCAAGGCCAGCCUCAGCGAUUCAGCAAGACACUGUCCCAAAACUGAAAAAUAAAAAGGGCUGGGGAUAUAGCUCAGGGGCAUAUUGCCCCGGAGUUCAAUCCCUAGCAUUGCAAAAGAAAAAGAAAACGAAAAAAGAAAAUGGAAUAUCUUUUAUAAUGUUUCCUCCAGGAAGAUGCUCUGUACUUUGAAUGACAAAGUCAUUUUAUUUCAUUUUCAAGUUAUAAAAUUAUUCCAUGCCUGUAAAAUACUUGUCUAAACUAUAUCGUGUCACAAUACAUGAAUUUCCUCCCUGCCCGCACCCAGCCAAGAGUCACAGAUUCUGUUUUUC